CGCUUAUUAGUUUAAUGGACAAACUCUUGACUUUAGAUCGGAUUAUCCAAGUUCGAUUCCUGGGUAAGCAA
Molecule: non-coding RNA, 71 nt
Organism: Oopsacas minuta
Lineage: Eukaryota; Metazoa; Porifera; Hexactinellida; Lyssacinosida; Leucopsacidae
Source: the annotation of a GenBank genome assembly